GUUGGAGUUUGUACCACAUUGCAGAGCCUGGUACAAAGCCAGCACCUCUCAUGUUCCCUUUUGGCUCACACAGUGCGCUGGUCUCAUGUGCUGCACAGGGAUAAGAUGUGACACUUCAGCAACUUUUGCCUGACAUACAUCUGCUUUUCUGGAGCCCCUUAUCCUGGGGGAUCUCUGGACCUUCAGAUGCCCUUCAGGUAUUAGAUACCCACUGUGUGUGAUUUUCAAGGUAACCAGGAGAUAAUUCUUUCUUUCUGAAAUGCAGGCAAGGAACUUGAAGCUGCAAUCGAAUAUCUGGACUGGCAGUUCCAUCAUUUGCCUGAUGGAGAUUGGAAAACAAACAGACCCCUCUCCCAUCCUGCCACCAGAAGUGAGACUAAUUAAAGUCAAGACUAAUUUAAGUCAAGACUGUAAAAGUUUACUCUCAAUCUCUGUUCUUGUGGCCUUAAUAACCCUUUCACACAGUUUUUUGGCGGCAAAAAAUAAUUGGCAAUAUUAAAGUUUUAAAGCAACCCAUGGUUCUGUAUCUUCAUUGUCUUCAAAGGAAGCACAAGACAUAAUAAAGAGUAGAAAUUCACUCA
This 581-nucleotide long non-coding RNA is filed under the name Zonotrichia albicollis (white-throated sparrow). RNAcentral's name for it is "lncRNA (ENSZALG00000006558.1)". Lineage: Eukaryota; Metazoa; Chordata; Aves; Passeriformes; Passerellidae. The record is from RNAcentral.